This 376-nucleotide long non-coding RNA is filed under the name Callithrix jacchus (white-tufted-ear marmoset). Its description in RNAcentral is "lncRNA (ENSCJAG00000076346.1)". Lineage: Eukaryota; Metazoa; Chordata; Mammalia; Primates; Cebidae. The record is from RNAcentral.
AAAUAUGGUGAAGUGGUGCUUGACAGUUCUCUCUCCCCGCCCACAACCUGUUGCUGAAUCUUGAUCAAUUUGACUCUAAACAAGAUCAACUGAUAUAUUUAAUGCUAAGGAUGUUUCACUUUUAAAACAAAAAUUUUUAUAGCUGGGGGAUUCAUUUUGAGAGCACAACUAGUACCACAUGAAGACUUGCAACUAUGAUUCUAAGGCUAUAAUCUCUUUGAGAAAAGGAAAUGGCCAGAGGAAGCUGAAUCUGAAAAUGAGUGGAAGCAUAGAAGAGCACUUAAUGUUAUGGGAACUGGGAUAUCCAGGAACUGGCUGUUUUAAAAGGUUAAAAAAAAAAAAUAAAAGAAUUAGAGAAAGAUAAACCUACAAGAAA